This is a long non-coding RNA of Sinocyclocheilus grahami, 110 nucleotides long. RefSeq lists it as uncharacterized. The record is from RefSeq and is a predicted model, not a curated record. Lineage: Eukaryota; Metazoa; Chordata; Actinopteri; Cypriniformes; Cyprinidae. The transcript is spliced from 3 exons.
GUUAACGAUUAAUCGAUUAAUUGAUCGUUAAUUUAAACAACGAUUGAUCAUGGAAAUGAUAGAAAAUUGACAUCAUUACUCUGCAGUCAAAAUAUAUUGUAUAUAUAUAU